CUAAGGCUAAAUACUCUCUAGUGACCGAUAGUGAACCAGUACCGUGAGGGAAAGGUGAAAAGCACCCCGGAAGGGGAGUGAAAUAGAACCUGAAACCGUGUGCUUACAAGUAGUCAGAGCCCGUUAAUGGGUGAUGGCGUGCCUUUUGUAGAAUGAACCGGCGAGUUACGAUUUGAUGCAAGGUUAAGCAGUAAAUGUGGAGCCGUAGCGAAAGCGAGUCUGAAUAGGGCGUUUAGUAUUUGGUCGUAGACCCGAAACCAGGUGAUCUACCCUUGGUCAGGUUGAAGUUCAGGUAACACUGAAUGGAGGACCGAACCGACUUACGUUGAAAAGUGAGCGGAUGAACUGAGGGUAGCGGAGAAAUUCCAAUCGAACCUGGAGAUAGC
This 386-nucleotide ribosomal RNA is filed under the name Staphylococcus aureus. Its description in RNAcentral is "partial 23S ribosomal RNA". It matches the Rfam family "Bacterial large subunit ribosomal RNA", at positions 460 to 849 of the family's 2925-position model. Lineage: Bacteria; Bacillati; Bacillota; Bacilli; Caryophanales; Staphylococcaceae. The record is from RNAcentral.